RNAcentral lists this long non-coding RNA (1747 nucleotides) under Salmo salar (Atlantic salmon). RNAcentral's name for it is "lncRNA (ENSSSAG00000100251.1)". Lineage: Eukaryota; Metazoa; Chordata; Actinopteri; Salmoniformes; Salmonidae. The record is from RNAcentral.
AAAUGGAAUAUUUUGACGUAUUAAUGGUUCCCUAUAAAACCCUUUAAUUCUAAGAAAGUGUCAUAUGGUCUUGAACUCGGUCAAAACACUGCAGUAUGAAGGGUGAUAAUGAGUAAGCCUACGUUCAGUCGUUUUUUGAAAGCGACCACGCUGAGAUUGCUCCGUGAGCGACCGCUUCUGUGUGCAGCUGGCCUGGUGAUCGCUACGGGUUCGGCAGUCUACUUUUAUAACAAAUAUUACGGCGUCGGUGAGGAUGAACCGGCCACCGGGGAGACCGUGGACCGUGUUGUCACGGUUGAGGAGGAUCAUGAUCCCACCCUGGACCAGGAGGACCCAGUCCUUGUUCAGUUUGUGGAUGAGGAGGUUGGGCAGCGGCCCUGUCUGGCUUUAGUCCCUUGGUCUGGACCUCUGUGGGUUCCCAGCUCUAUGUUCAUGAGGGAUCAGCCUGUUCUCAUCUGUUUCACUCCUGUUGGGAGGAUGGUGUGGGAGGAACUGUCUUCUCAAACUGAACAGCCAAAUAGUGAAGACUCUGGUUUUCCCUAUGAGAAGAUGCAGCUGGUUGGGAACUGGGGUUCAUUUCAUUUCCAUACCUGGAUAAUCCGUUAUGGACGAGUGCAGCAAAAUGAAGAGGACAUGCAUCACCUGUGCAUUGUGAGGGGAGUGGAGAAACAGCUGUGGUGGAGCAGAGUCAUUCAGGAAAAAAUCAUGGACCCAUGGGGUAUUGUCCAGGUGGUCCUCACCAACAAGGAGGUGACUGGUAUUAAGUUCCUUGGUAGAAGGAUCCAUGGACUCAGGUCUUGCCUCGUCAAGAGGAGGUUAGAGUUCACCUAUUAUGAGGACGCCCAGCAGGUGGAUAUCUCCACCACAGUGGAGGGGUUCCAGGAGAGGGGGGAUGACAUGAUGGCGUAUCAGUUCUCUACCUCUGACAUUAUCACCAUCCCUCAUGAGCCGUCCUCUGGCUCCUCUCACCAGUUCCCCCAGGAUUCUCCACCUCCCCCUCCGCCUCCCCCAUUCCCUUCCGAUUCCCCUCCACCUUACCACUUCACCCAGGACCAGGCCCAGGACCAGACCCCUGACAGCACUCCUCAGGAGUUUGUGGAGGAGCAACAUAAUGUUGCAGAUGUGCCCCAGCUGUGGAGUUACUUUGGAAACCAAGGGACAACCAACUUCUCUCUGAGGCUGGCCUGUAUCCGACGUGCUAUGGAGGCUCUGACAUCCUCAGACAGUUCCUCCCUUAAUUACCUCACCCACGCUGGGAGGAUGGUGUUGAGUGGACUGUCCAAGCUCAACCAGCAGGAUGUGAGGCAGUUUCAGCAGGCCUAUGACAUCCUGGUGAACUUCAUUAAUGAGCCAGCAAACAGGGAGCGACUAGAGCUGGAGAUGGCUCUUGUAGGAAUCAACCACAUCAACUUCACGGAUGUAUUUUAUGAAUUCGUUCUACUAAGCCUUCUAGAAGGAAAAACAUCUCUUCCAACAUCUAGGCCUGGUACCUUCUUUUAUCUGCUCAUGGAAGUGAUCAUGAGGAUUCGCCCUCCUGGAGGAGCCUGGACAGAGUCUGCUGGGAACUUCUACCUCCUCAUUAAGGAUCAGAUGAAGGCGUGGUUGGACUCCAUCUUCAACCUUGAUGAGUCCAUCUAUGAAAGCCCACAGAGGCUCUCGUGGCAGGUGAUGGUGAAUCUAGAAAUGCAGGUUGACUUCCUCCUGUCCAGCCUGGAUUAAGGGUCCCAAACUGAGCUGAGGAUCCCAA